UACGUAGGGCGCAAGCGUUGUCCGGAAUUAUUGGGCGUAAAGAGCUCGUAGGCGGUCUGUUACGUCCGCUGUGAAAACCCAGGGCUUAACCCUGGGCUUGCAGUGGAUACGGGCAGACUAGAGGCAGGUAGGGGAGAAUGGAAUUCCCGGUGUAGCGGUGAAAUGCGCAGAUAUCGGGAGGAACACCGGUGGCGAAGGCGGUUCUCUGGGCCUGACCUGACGCUGAGGAGCGAAAGCGUGGGGAGCGAAC
RNAcentral lists this ribosomal RNA (250 nucleotides) under uncultured bacterium. RNAcentral's name for it is "partial 16S ribosomal RNA". It matches the Rfam family "Bacterial small subunit ribosomal RNA", at positions 524 to 773 of the family's 1533-position model. The record is from RNAcentral.